GCUGGCAGCCUGGGCUCUUGGAGAUUGUAUCUGGUGCCGGAGAGGACUGGCUCCCACACUCAGUGAGGGAGGAAUUUUACUGACCCAGCAUCCAGAUGAACUUUGGUGAGGAGAGGAGGACAUAAGAGCCUGGUGGUUGAUGAUGGAAGAGAUGAAACUGUGAAGAGACCGAAGAAGCUAAUCUAUCAAUAGUUAAGAUUCCAUUUCUAAAAGAUCUUACUUUGAGUCUACCUAUGCCUGGGAUGUCAAGAGACGGAGUUUCACUGUUGUUGCCCAGGCUGGAGUGCAGUGG
This 292-nucleotide long non-coding RNA is filed under the name Homo sapiens (human). RNAcentral's name for it is "HSALNT0350909". The record is from RNAcentral. Lineage: Eukaryota; Metazoa; Chordata; Mammalia; Primates; Hominidae.